RNAcentral lists this ribosomal RNA (811 nucleotides) under uncultured bacterium. RNAcentral's name for it is "bacterial SSU rRNA". It matches the Rfam family "Bacterial small subunit ribosomal RNA", at positions 8 to 796 of the family's 1533-position model. The record is from RNAcentral.
AGAGUUUGAUCAUGGCUCAGAGCGAACGUUAGCGGCGGGCUAACACAUGCAAGUCGAACGAGAAUGAGGGGGCAACUCCUCUAGUAAAGUGGCGGACGGGUGCGUAACACGUGGGUAAUCUACCUUCCGGCGGGGGACAACAGUCCGAAAGGAUUGCUAAUACCGCGUACGUCAGCGAGACCUACGGGUCUUGUUGGGAAAGACGGCCUCUUCUUGAAAGCUGUCACCGGAAGAUGAGCCCGCGGCCCAUCAGCUAGUUGGUGAGGUAAUGGCUCACCAAGGCUUAGACGGGUAGCUGGUCUGAGAGGAUGAUCAGCCACACUGGGACUGCGACACGGCCCAGACUCCUACGGGAGGCAGCAGUGGGGAAUAUUGGGCAAUGGGCGAAAGCCUGACCCAGCCACGCCGCGUGAGUGAUGAAGGCCUUCGGGUCGUAAAGCUCUGUGGGGAGGGACGAACAAGCACCGUAUUAACACCACGGGGCCCUGACGGUACCUCCUUAGCAAGCACCGGCUAACCAUGUGCCAGCAGCCGCGGUAAUACAUGGGGUGCAAACGUUGCUCGGAAUUAUUGGGCGUAAAGCGCACGUAGGUGGUUUGUUAUGUCGGAUGUGAAAGCCCUCGGCUCAACUGAGGAAGUGCAUCCGAAACUGGCAAGCUAGAGUAUGUAAGAGGGUCGCGGAAUUCCCGGUGUAGAGGUGAAAUUCGUAGAUAUCGGGAGGAACACCGGUGGCGAAGGCGGCGACCUGGGACAAUACUGACACUGAGGUCGAAAGCGUGGGGACAAACAGGAUUAGAUACCCNNGUAGUCC